CAGAGCCCGACGAGGCACUGAUCCCGAGGUGGUGGAAAAAGAAAUACUUCCAGGGCUCGUUUUCGAACUGCCCGAUCGGAGUGGGCGACUCCGAGUUUGAGGCAAUCAAGGCUCCAGUUAGUCGACUAAAUUUUUCCGGAAAGCACGAGCAAUUAUUUCAGUGGAAUCGAGAGUGCCAAGCUUUUGCUCGAAUGCCAUCAAACAGGCAAUUGCAACACUGUUCUUGCAUGGUCAUGCACCAUGCAUUGUAGAAAGAAUAUACCCACUAUUCUUUAUAUGACGUGGCGUUUUUA
Selaginella moellendorffii is the source of this 293-nucleotide long non-coding RNA. RefSeq lists it as uncharacterized. The record is from RefSeq and is a predicted model, not a curated record. The transcript has 3 exons. Lineage: Eukaryota; Viridiplantae; Streptophyta; Lycopodiopsida; Selaginellales; Selaginellaceae.